AGAGUUUGAUCAUGGCUCAGAUUGAACGCUGGCGGCAGGCCUAACACAUGCAAGUCGAACGGUAACAGGAAGCAGCUUGCUGCUUUGCUGACGAGUGGCGGACGGGUGAGUAAUGUCUGGGAAACUGCCUGAUGGAGGGGGAUAACUACUGGAAACGGUAGCUAAUACCGCAUAACGUCGCAAGACCAAAGAGGGGGACCUUCGGGCCUCUUGCCAUCGGAUGUGCCCAGAUGGGAUUAGCUAGUAGGUGGGGUAAAGGCUCACCUAGGCGACGAUCCCUAGCUGGUCUGAGAGGAUGACCAGCCACACUGGAACUGAGACACGGUCCAGACUCCUACGGGAGGCAGCAGUGGGGAAUAUUGCACAAUGGGCGCAAGCCUGAUGCAGCCAUGCCGCGUGUAUGAAGAAGGCCUUCGGGUUGUAAAGUACUUUCAGCGGGGAGGAAGGGAGUAAAGUUAAUACCUUUGCUCAUUGACGUUACCCGCAGAAGAAGCACCGGCUAACUCCGUGCCAGCAGCCGCGGUAAUACGGAGGGUGCAAGCGUUAAUCGGAAUUACUGGGCGUAAAGCGCACGCAGGCGGUUUGUUAAGUCAGAUGUGAAAUCCCCGGGCUCAACCUGGGAACUGCAUCUGAUACUGGCAAGCUUGAGUCUCGUAGAGGGGGGUAGAAUUCCAGGUGUAGCGGUGAAAUGCGUAGAGAUCUGGAGGAAUACCGGUGGCGAAGGCGGCCCCCUGGACGAAGACUGACGCUCAGGUGCGAAAGCGUGGGGAGCAAACAGGAUUAGAUACCCUGGUAGUCCACGCCGUAAACGAUGUCGACUUGGAGGUUGUGCCCUUGAGGCGUGGCUUCCGGAGCUAACGCGUUAAGUCGACCGCCUGGGGAGUACGGCCGCAAGGUUAAAACUCAAAUGAAUUGACGGGGGCCCGCACAAGCGGUGGAGCAUGUGGUUUAAUUCGAUGCAACGCGAAGAACCUUACCUGGUCUUGACAUCCACGGAAGUUUUCAGAGAUGAGAAUGUGCCUUCGGGAACCGUGAGACAGGUGCUGCAUGGCUGUCGUCAGCUCGUGUUGUGAAAUGUUGGGUUAAGUCCCGCAACGAGCGCAACCCUUAUCCUUUGUUGCCAGCGGUCCGGCCGGGAACUCAAAGGAGACUGCCAGUGAUAAACUGGAGGAAGGUGGGGAUGACGUCAAGUCAUCAUGGACCUUACGACCAGGGCUACACACGUGCUACAAUGGCGCAUACAAAGAGAAGCGACCUCGCGAGAGCAAGCGGACCUCAUAAAGUGCGUCGUAGUCCGGAUUGGAGUCUGCAACUU
This 1315-nucleotide ribosomal RNA is filed under the name Escherichia coli. RNAcentral describes it as "bacterial SSU rRNA". It matches the Rfam family "Bacterial small subunit ribosomal RNA", at positions 8 to 1313 of the family's 1533-position model. Lineage: Bacteria; Pseudomonadati; Pseudomonadota; Gammaproteobacteria; Enterobacterales; Enterobacteriaceae. The record is from RNAcentral.